This 379-nucleotide unclassified non-coding RNA is filed under the name uncultured Pseudobdellovibrionaceae bacterium. RNAcentral describes it as "uncultured Bdellovibrionaceae bacterium contains 16S-23S intergenic spacer region". The record is from RNAcentral. Lineage: Bacteria; Pseudomonadati; Bdellovibrionota; Bdellovibrionia; Bdellovibrionales; Pseudobdellovibrionaceae.
UCCAGCUUAACGCUAGCAGUCUCCUUAGAGUGCCCAACUUAAUGAUGGCAACAAAGGACGUGGGUUGCGCUCGUUGCGGGACUUAACCCAACAUCUCACGACACGAGCUGACGACAGCCAUGCAGCACCUGUGUAUCGGUCCCCGAAGGGAAAGGCCUGUUUCCAGGACCGGUCCAAUACAUGUCAAGACCAGGAUAAGGUUCUUCGCGUUGCGUCGAAUUAAACCACAUGCUCCACUGCUUGUGCGGGUCCCCGUCAAUUUCUUUGAGUUUUAAUCUUGCGACCGUACUCCCCAGGCGGGAUGCUUAACGCGUUAGCUCCGUCACUGAAAGGUUAACACCUCCAACGACAAGCAUCCAUAGUUUACGGCGUGGACUAC